This is a non-coding RNA of Thalassospira alkalitolerans, 74 nucleotides long. Lineage: Bacteria; Pseudomonadati; Pseudomonadota; Alphaproteobacteria; Rhodospirillales; Thalassospiraceae. The record is from Rfam.
GGGGGCGUAGCUCAGUUGGUUAGAGCGCCGGCCUGUCACGCCGGAGGUCGCGGGUUCAAGUCCCGUCGCUCCCG